ACAGAGGUCUCAAGCGUUGUUCGGAUUCAUUGGGCGUAAAGGGCGCGUAGGCGGCUAGGAGGUAAGCCGGGUGUGAAAGGGGGGGGCUCAACCCCCCCAGGGCACUCGGGACUGCCCGGCUAACAAGAGGGCCGGCGAGGAGAUCGGAAUUCACGGUGUAGCAGUGAAAUGCGUAGAGAUCGUGAGGAAGACCGGUGGCGAAGGCGGAUCUCUGGACGGCGCCUGACGCUGAGGCGCGAAGGCUAGGGGAGCAAACGGGA
RNAcentral lists this ribosomal RNA (260 nucleotides) under uncultured prokaryote. Its description in RNAcentral is "partial 16S ribosomal RNA". It matches the Rfam family "Bacterial small subunit ribosomal RNA", at positions 525 to 777 of the family's 1533-position model. The record is from RNAcentral.